GAUUAACGCUGGCGGCGUGCAUAACACAUGCAAGUCGAACGAUGAAACUUAAAUGAUUUCUUCGGAAUGAACUUAAGUGGAUUAGUGGCGGACGGGUGAGUAACGCGUGAGUAACCUGCCUUACACAAGGGGAUAGCCGUUGGAAACGGCGAAUAAUACCCUAUGAUGUUUCUAUCUCGCAUGAGAUAUUAACCAAAGUGUUAGCGGUGUAAGAUGGACUUGCGUCUGAUUAGCUAGUUGGUGAGAAAAAAGCCCACCAAGGCAACGAUCAGUAGCCGGCUUGAGAGAGUGUACGGCCACAUUGGGACUGAGACACGGCCCAGACUCCUACGGGAGGCAGCAGUGGGGAAUUUUGCACAAUGGGGGAAACCCUGAUGCAGCGACGCCGCGUGAUUUAGAAGGCCUUCGGGUUGUAAAAAUCUUUUGUAUAGGAAGAAAAUGACAGUACUAUACGAAUAAGGUCCGGCUAAUUACGUG
This 477-nucleotide ribosomal RNA is filed under the name uncultured bacterium. RNAcentral's name for it is "partial 16S ribosomal RNA". It matches the Rfam family "Bacterial small subunit ribosomal RNA", at positions 28 to 507 of the family's 1533-position model. The record is from RNAcentral.